Molecule: non-coding RNA, 12072 nt
Organism: Podarcis lilfordi (Lilford's wall lizard)
Lineage: Eukaryota; Metazoa; Chordata; Lepidosauria; Squamata; Lacertidae
Source: the annotation of a GenBank genome assembly
CUGCCACCAACCAACUCCUCCCUGGUAAAUCACUUAGUCUCAGUCAGGUUCUUAAGUUAACAACGAAGAGUGUAGUUUAUUGCAGACACAAAUAAACUUUAACUGCAUUCAAAAUGAUGUUACUCUUUACCUUCUUAGUCUUAUUUUAUCCUGUCUCUAACUCUUCCACCUCCCCUCACACAAGAACCAACUGCACUAACUGUCUCUCUAUUUCCAUCUGUCUGCCAACUGCUUUCCCAACUGCCUUUCCCAACCAAGCAACCAACCCAAACCUCAGGCUAAGCCCUUUUAUAAACAGGUAGGCUCCGCCUCUGGCUUUUCUAUUGGUCUACCUAUUAACUCUUUCUCUCCCCCUGUACAGACAUUUUCAAACAAACGGGCAAACGCCACAGCUACUCUCACCUAAUUUAGCCAGCCAUUUCCUGGGUGUGGUUGCUGUCGCAUGCUGACAGCUUCUAGGAGCCACAGGUGAGAGAUCUUUGGUGGGGACACCAAAAAGAACAACAUCACUGGAACUAUGGGGCGGGGUCUAACAAAUUGUUUCACAACUAUUAACACAGCCAUCUGUCAUGGAGGCUAUUGCUAAGAUUCCUGCAUUGCAGGGGGUUGGCCUAGAUUACCCUUGGGGGUCCCUUCGAACUCUAUGAUUAUUAUAUUUUUAAUUAAAGAUUUUCUUGAUUUACAAAAGUUUGUGCAAUGUCUCUCUUUCAUAUUUUUCCCCCCAUGUAACAUUUUUACAAAUCAGUUUAUUUUGUUGAGACAUUAGGAAGAAAAGGGGGAAAGAGGUGGGGGGGAGAUGGGGAGUUGGGUGGCAAUGUUUCUAUUUUACUUACUUCAUGUAGGGUUUGGUGUCAGCGUUACUUGUGCAGGUUCUUUGCUGUUCACUUGUGUUCCUUUGGUGGUGAGAGAGGUUGGGGUUGGCCUAGGGUGUGGUAAUUCAUUUGUGGUUGGCUGUGGUGGUCUUUGUUUUCAUGUGUGAGUGGGGUGUGUGUGCGUUUUGGGUCAGGUUAGCCAUACUGAUUUGUAUGCUGUUGGUGGAUUUUUGUCGUUGUCUUGUUGGGCUGUGUAUGUGAUAAAGGGGAGCCGUAACGGGGUGAAGGUGUCUUCUUCUAUUUGUCCCCGUGUCAGUUUCAGUUUAUUGGUUAAUUUUUCUGGUAGGGCUGUUUUCCAUACAAUUUGGUAUCAUUCUGUAUACCUGAAGGAGCGUCUCCACCCCCAUCGUUCAGACCGGACACUGAGAUCCAGCGCCGAGGGCCUUCUGGUGGUUCCCUCAUUGUGAGAAGUGAGGUUACAGGGAACCAGGCAGAGGGCCUUCUGAGUAGUGGCGUCCACCCUGUGGAACGCCCUCCCAUCGGAUGUCAAGGAAAUAAGCAGCUAUCGUAUCUUUAAAAGACAUCUGAAGGCAGCCCUGUUUAGGGAAGUUUUUAAUAUUUAAUGCUGUAUUGUUCUUAACACUCGAUUGGAAGCCGCCCAGAGUGGCUGGGGAAACUCAGCCAGAUGGGUGGGGUAUAAAUAUAAAUAAAUAAUACCACUACACGAAGAAACCUACCAAUCAUAACACACAGCAUUAAACAAAAUAUAAUGGGUGCAAUCUGCAAGAGCAAAGAACAGCUGCAGGAAGUUCUGCAAGGAGGGAAAACAAGGUGGGAUUACCACUCUUCCUUCUGGAAGUCACACACUCUCUUCGGAAAAGGUGUUAAUUGUUGCAGCAAAGGAUCGUGAAACAGCUGGAAUAUCCUAGAGAGUCCACUAGUUUUGCCGCUCUGAGAUCUUCCCAGGCUCUUCAUAAGUUUGCUGCUGUGCUGACACUGCUGGGGGAGGAGGAAGGAUGCUUCUGGUUCAAGCCUGUUCACUAUUUUCCAAGGUUGCCACCCACCUCUGUGCAGGAGAGCCAGUGGUCAACUAAGAAGGGGACCAUAUUGAAUUCCAACAAUUUCCCUUCCCGCAGUUACAGAAUUAAUAUUAAAGGAAACUUGAGCGACUCAGAGGGGAAAGGCAUUUGGAUCUGAACCAAAUUCUUUUGUUAUUACUCAGAUCGGUUUAAUUCCGGAUUGCUAAUAUCUGGGAGGAAUUAAGCCUCUGAUGAAACUGCCGUUGACUCACCUAAGAACAAUAAUUCAUUCAACUCGAUUCAGCUUCCCCUCCCGGCUUUCCCUCGGGAAGUCUUCACCCUCUUCUCAGCUUUGUUAGAUAAGGGGCUGUGGUUGCUUGAAGCUCUUUUGACAGUGUUGGCAAAGUGUUGAAAUAUUGUGCAGGCCUUCUAGUCUCAUUGAUCCUACCUGUUCCUGUCGUUGCAUUAAACUGCCCUCACAUGAAUUAAGGAAAACGACACGAGGCACUGAAUUCAAUACCCAGAAAGGUUUGCCUCCUCUUUGCGGUGCAUACCCUCCAACAUUUCUCCAGUGAAAAUGGGGGUGUCCCAUUCCUAAUACAGUGGUACCUCGGCUUACAUACGCUUCAGGUUACAUACGCUAACCCAGAAAUAAUACCUCAGGUAACCCAGAAAUAAUACCUCAGGUUAAGAACUUUGCUUCAGGAUGAAGUGGUACCUCAGGUUACAGAUGCUUCAGGUUACAGACUCCGUUAACCCAGAAAUAGCACCUGGGGUUAAGAACUUUGCUUCAGAAUGAGAACAGAAAUCGCGUGGCAGAGGGAGGCCCCAUUAGCUAAAGUGGUGCUUCAGGUUAAGUACUGUUUCAGGUUAAGGACAGACCUCCGGAACGAAUUAAGUACUUAACCCGAGGUACCACUGUAAUAAUAAUUUUAUUAUUUAUACCCCACCCCUCUGACUGGGUUGCCCCAGACACUCUGGGCAGUUUCCAUCAUACAGUGGUACCUUAGGUUAAGUACUUAAUUCAUUCCAGAGGUACAUUCUUAAACUGAAACUGUUCUUAACCUGAGGUCCCACUUUAGCUAAUGGGGCCUCCCACUGCCGCCUGGGCCAUCAGAGCACGAUCUCUGUUCUCAUCAAAUCAAAAUGUUUAUUCGGCUUUACGCCCAUCAUAAAACACAACACACAAAACAAAUCAAGUAAAACAGCGGUCUCGUACAAGCCACAAGUAAUAUAACACAAUUCACAGCUCACAAGGACAAAUAUUGGCAAAUCAAAACAGAAAUUUAAGAUUAAAGUUAAAAAUUUAGGCACUACACUAAAAUCAAUAUCUGAUGUCAAUAUCAAAAAUUCUUAUAACUAUCAAUAAUCAGCUAACAUUCCAUUCCGUCUCUUGUACGAGAGAACGGCUGUUAGGAAUUUAGCAACCUGUAGAGUAAUAUGAGGAUCUACAUCUUGAAGAACCCAGGCAAGCUGUAGGUCUACUGGUUUGUCAGCCAUAGGCUGGAUUAUGGAGUUUAGUAUACUAGCACGAGCUGAACUGUACAUAGGGCAGAUAAACAUAACAUGAUGUAAAGAUUCAGAUGUUUUCAUUUCACAAGCACACAUUGAAGGGACUUGGCCCUUAGUGAAUCUAUGUCUCAGGACGUUUGUUGGAAAAACAUUGAACCUGGCUCUAAUGAAGGCAUAUCGGUGUGACGCGGCUAUAAGCGAUGUUAAGUAGGACGGAGCACGAUAGAUAGGGGUUAUGCCGAGAUUUAAUGGCGAGCAGGCUCCACCACCAGCUAAGAAAUUUUGGUAUAGCUCCACAUCAUCCAGCCUUUGAUUUAUACACCUUUUUGCCGCGUUUAGAUCCAGUUUGAGCAAUUCCGUGGGCGAGAUCUCAUAGGACAGCAAUUUGGCAUGGAUUUUUCCUGACCACAAAUUUGUGAAGUCAUCCCGCCACAUGUAUUGAAUGAGAUAGUGGUUCGGUAGAUUAUGCCAUAGGGAUAUCCAAUAAAUCAAAACUCUCCUCCAUAAAACUAACUCCACUGAGGGGAUCUUCAUUUCUAAGCGAAUAGCCGCAUUACUUACGCAUGUUGGUAGUUUUAAAAGUCGGCGUAAGAAUUGGCUUUGAAGCGACUCUAAAGGUGAGAGGUUUGCAAAGGCAGCCCAUAAAGGUGCAGCAUAGGCCAUUGUGGCCAUCACUUUGAUGCUAUACACUUUCAAGGCCGCAGGGAUGAAUAAGGCCCCCUCAGAGUAGAAAAAACGAAGGAGGGAGUGUGAUAGGGCUUUGUCUUGUUUUGAAGAUAUUCAACGUGCGCUUUCCACCCUAAAUUAUAUUGAAAAUAAAUUCCUAAAUAUUUAAAUUUAUGUACUUGUUCGAUUUUCUUGCCCUCCAAUUUCCAUGAAUAUAAUUUUCGACUCCUUGAAAAUAUCAGUACUUUGGACUUGGUGUGGUUGAUAGACAGAUGAUUAGAAUGGCAAUAUGAUGCAAAAAUCUUUAGUGCCCUCCUUAAACCCACUCUGGAGUAAGAGAGUAGUACCGCAUCAUCUGCGUAGAGAAGUAAAGGACAACGAUAAUCUGCUAUACGGGGGGAGUGGAUAAAUUUUUGUGAGUCGAUUAAUGGGUUCCUCAUAUCACUGAUAAAUAAGUUAAAAAGAACCAAAGUUCUUAACCUGAGGUACUAUUUCUGGGUUAGCAGAGUCUGUAACCUGAAGCGUAUGUAAUCUGAGGUACCACUGUAUAUGAAAACAUAGCAAAACAUUAAAAAUUUCAAAAACCUCCCUAUACAGUGGCAGCCUUCAGGUGUCUUCUAAAGGUUGUAUAGUUACUUAUCUCCUUGCCUCAGGAAGUCGCAUAACUCCAUAGCCUCCAACAUUUCUCUGAUGAAAAUAGGGAUGCCCUAGGGAAAAGGAGGACAUUCCAGGAUCAAAUCAGAAACUGGGACGGUUUCUGUAAAUCCAGAGCUGUCCCUGGAAAAUUGUGACACUUGGAGGGUCUGUGAGCGGGUUGGAACAAUAGUGUCACCCUAUUAUGGCAGUGGCAAGCUCAGGGGGGCUUUUGCCUUUGCUGUACCACAGGUGUGCACACAGCUUUGAGGCCAUCAUCAGCCUGGAGCAUCCCUGACCUCACUGCUGCCUAGUCCCACCCAUCCUGUCCUGGUGAGCAAUGGUUGCAGCUCCAAGAGGAUACCACUGCCAUCACAAACAUAUAUAUACGCGGAUCCCACUGUCGCUGGUGUACCAGUGGAAUGGGGAAACUGUUUACAGAUUUGUCAUCUGUAUGGGCUUGAUGUGGGUGACGCUGUGGUGUAAACCACUGAGCCUCUGGGCUUGCCGAUUGGAAGGUCAGCGGUUUGAUUCCCCACGACGGAGUGAGCUCCCGUUGCUCGUCCCAGCUUCUGCCUACCUAGCAGUCCGAAAGCACGUCAAAGUGCAAGUAGAUAAAUAGGUACCGCUCCGGUGGGAAGGUAAACGGCGUUUCCAUGCGCUGCUCUGGUUUUGCCAGAAGCAGCUUAGUCAUGCUGGCCACAUGACCUGGAAAAACUGUCUGCAGACAAAUGUCAGCUCCCUCGGCCAGUAAAGCGAGAUGAGCGCCGCAACCCCAGAGUCGUUCGCAACUGGACUUAACGGUCAGGGGUCCUUUACUUUUACCUUUUUAUGGGCUUUAUAGAUGACCCCUCUGACAUGAUGCUCACUGGUAGCUGCGUGUAUAACCGUUGCCCCUUUUUGGAAGGUUCUUAAAGGAGCUAAUUUAACAGCAUGCUGUAAAAGGUUUUGGCAGAUAGCCCUAACAGGGAAAGUUAAAUGUAAACAAAUAAUAGCUAGAGGAAAUAAGCACAGAGCCACAUUUGCAAGAGAUUGGUGGAGCUUUAUUGCUUAUGCAAGUAUUUCAGAUAACAGAAGGCAAGUCCUUAGGGUGUGCUCCAAUGUAUGGAUUUGUUAAAUGUUUCUUUUCUCUUUGUAUUAAUUCAAAUACUGCAUUUAUUAGAAAAUUUUCUGCAGGGUCUGCGUAUAGGAGACUCUUGGUAUUUUUGUUUCUGAUUUUGCCCGGUGGCUCACGCUCCAGAUUUUGUAAUGUCCUUUUUCUCUUCUGUUCAAUUUUUGAUGGGUUAUGUUUGUUGUGCAACUUAGGUAAUGAAAAGCAUUUGAAAUGUCUAUAUAUAAAAAAGUAAUGAGGAAACUGUAGCCACCACCCCCCAUGUUGUCAGAUAUCAACUCACAUCCUCCCUGAACAUUGACUAUGUUGGCAGAGGCUACUCAGAGUUGGAGUUCAUUCUUGCAGAAUGCCAGGCAUCAGGGGAGAGAAUUCUAACAUAGCCUUCUCUCUUAACAUAUAGUUUUCUAUCUGCUGUGAUUUGUUUCUUUGUUUUGUAAGAUGGGCAUUCAAUCAGUCUGAAGUGGCGUGAUCCAGAUACAGCUAUACCACCACAGUAGUGGAAUUCAUCUGAAGAUAUCAGAGUUUUCUGGAACUGAUUUUACUCAAAAAGGCUACGCACAUUACUUUUUCAGCAGCCUUGUGAAUAUUUGGAUUUUCUGCCUCUGGAAAACGAAAUGUCUAGUGAGAGACCACUGCUGAAAGGGGAGCUUAUAUAUUUCUUCAUUUAUUUCAUAUUCAUAUUCUCCAUUUGUUUCUCAAGUAAAUAAAUAGGUUAGCACAAGAAUUAUAAAACAGAAUAGGAAAGGAACUUCCUGAGCCCCCUCGUCUAGUAGCCAAAUGCACAAUAGCUAGAUAAAAAAUAGCAUGGGAAAAACAUUCAUAUUUUCUCCAAUGGGAGCUUCCCUCCCUCUGUGCAAAUAGCAGAUGUGGGGACCUGAUUUGUCUUGGGGUGGGGGCGGGGAGAGGCUUAAAACCCUCCCCACUUACACCAGGAUCCUGAUCUUCAUUGUGCCCAUUUUCUGUGAGAUAAAAAUCUUACACUCAAGAGCAAAACACAUGACUAACCUACCUUGUAGUCUGGCCUCAUUUACAAACUCUGUCUGAUCUGCAUUCACAAAGCUACUACAGUACUGGGAUUUAAGGGUGACGCUAAAGCAGUGGACAAGUUGAUGUCUUACUCUUGACAGGGCGGGGAAGGAAUAAGCAACCAAUGGAACUAGUCUAUCUUGGCAAAUGUACAGGAAAUUCUUGGAAAUGGGCAUGUUAGGAUCUGCAAAUGACCCCUGCAUGGUUAAGUCCAGUCAAAGGCAACUAUGGGGUUGCAGCGCUCAUCUCACUUUCAGGUUGGAGGAGCCAGCAUUUGUUCACAGACAGCUUUCCUGGUCAUGUGGCCAGCAGGACUAAACCGCUUCUGGCACAACGGGACACCGUGAUGGAAACCAGAGCGCACGGAAACACUGUUUACCUUCCUGCCGCAGCGGUACCUAUUUAUCUACUUGCACUGGCCUGCUUUUGAACUGCUAGGUUGGCAGGAGCUGCAACAGAGCAACGGGAGCUCACUCCGUUGCACAGAUUCGAACUGCUGACCUCCUGAUCAGCAAGCCCAAAAGGGUCAGUGGUUUAGACCACAGCGCCACCCUCACUACAGCUUGGAGUGGUUUCAGGCUAUUUUAGAAAUAACCACCAAGUAUUAUAAGCCUGAUGCAAGGUUUUUUCUGGAGUCCACUGCAGAUGAAACGACUUACCUUAAAUGGAUAGAAUAUUGCUAGUAAGAAAUAGUGGUUUAGUAGUUGGUGGUUCAAGCGCCCAUCUAUUUUCUCUGUGUCAGCAGCAGAGCUCUCUUUAGCUUACAGUGAGUACCUAAGUAGUUUAAAUGGUGCACAUGAAACCAAAUCCAAGACAGAGGGGAAAAAUCGCAGGAAAAUAAUAAUCAUAAUGCUAAGACCCCCCUGCUGUUCAGAAGCAUCUCUCUUUCCCUAAAGUAGGCUACAUAAAUAUUGAUCUUGACUUGGUGUGCCCUAGAUUCAUUUGCUCAGGCAUUAAUAAAUAUGCCGGAAAAUGAAAUCAAUCUGGUUUUCCUCCAAGUAAAUAUAUUCAGCUCUGAGUACACAAUGAAAGCUUGGCAGUCUUGGCACUUGAUUAUGUAACAAAAAUGGGUUAUUUGUAGCUACCCGAUAUUUAAAAGGCAUUUGCAUUGCUUCCGAUGCAAACAGUGUUAACCAUAUUCAAAUUGGGUUUCAGCCUGGUGGAGAGUGAAAUAUUUUCCUUCAUUGCCUCCACAUCUAUUCACUCUGUUUUCAAGAGGAUGGUCAUCCAGUAGUCUGUGGAUCAAAUCCGCAACCCCAAAGGAAUUUCGUUUGGCUUGUGGUAAGGUAAAGGACCCCUUACCAUUAGGUCCAGUCGUGACCGACUCUGGGGUUGCGGUGCUCAUCUCGCUUUAUUGGCCGAGGGAGCCGGCGUUUGUCCGCAGACAGCUUCCGGGUCAUGUGGCCAGCAUGACUAAGCCACUUCUGGCGAACCAGAGCAGCGCACGGAAACACCAUUUACCUUCCCGCUGGAGCAGUACCUAUUUAUCUACUUGCACUUUGUGCUUUUGAACUGCUAGGUUGGCAGGAGCAGGGACCGAGCAACGGGAGCUCACCCCGUCUUGGGGAUUCGAACUGCCGACUUUCUGAUCGGCAAGUCCUAGGCUCUGUGGUUUAACCCACAGCGCCACCCGUGUCCCCUUCCACCUAAUUUUAACCAAGGUGAAGAUAAAUGCUUCCCUGCCGUUUCACUCAUACAAAAAUGGGGUGGUGGUUGAACUGUCCCAUGUCCAUUUCAGAAUCUCUGUUUGGAUUUUAUACGCAAAGCCUCAACCCAUGCACUUUGUAAUUACAAAACCUGUUGUUAGAUCAGCCUAGUAAAUAAACCCACAAAAGUUACCAGUCUGCUGAGCUGGUGGAAGAAGAGGGGAGAACUCUGUCUCAGCUGCAGUAGCCUUCUUGUUGCUGCUGCUAUUGUAGUUGUUGUUGUUUUACUUGGUGAUGAUGACAGGCAGAGUACCUCAUCUCCCCUCCGCUAGAGUGCAUCGACACCGGAUUUAGGGUGAUGCAGGAAGUUUCCCGCACAGGGCACCAAGCCCAGGGGCGCAAAAUUGAGAAGAUCCAUUUGGGCGUGCAAACUUUGGCCUCGCACAGGGCACAAAUAUUUCAAAAGAUGACCAAAGUCCACCCCUGCCUGCAUGGAAUUCCAUGGACUCACCUGCAAGCAAUUUUCAGUCACCUCUGACUGCUAUGGCAGUGCUUAAGGCUGUGCUAGGUGGGUGCUAGGCAGGUGGCGCUAUGGUCUAAACAACUGAGCCUCUUGGGCUUGCUGAUCAGAAUGUCAGCGGUUCGAAUCCGCUUGAUGGGGUGAGCUCCCAUUGCUCUGUCCCAGCUUCUAUUCGAAAGCAUGCCAGUGCAAGUAGAUUAAUAGGUAGUGCUGCAGCAGGAAAGUAAACGGUGUUUCCAUGCGCUCUGGUUUCCGUCACAGUGUUCCAUUGUGCCAUAAGUGGUUUAGUCAUGCUGGCCACAUAACCUGGAAAGCUGUCUGUGGACAAACGCUGGCUUACUCAGCCUGAAGCGAGAUGAGCGCCGCAACCCCAUAGUCGCCUUUGACUGGACUUAAUUGUCCAGGGGUCCUUUACCUUUUUACCUUUACUACUCUUAUCCUAACACUCCUGACUGUGUUUCAAGUUGCAUCUUACGUUGCUGUACACAUCACUACCUGAUUUGUUUUCCUCACCUGUAUCCCCCCCCCAAAAUAUCCUAUUCGAUUAAGCUUUCAUCUGUGGAUUUGCAAUGGAUGCCUGAAAUGUACACACCUCUGCUUAUCUGCACCUUACCUUUUCAAAUUGGAUGGAAGCUGGUUUCAAGGAAAUCAUAUGAAUCUGCAGCAUUUCUCAAGAAAUUACAAAAAACUGAUGGAUUGUGUGGCUUCUGUCUGCUUGGAUUCAGACCCCAGUUUUGGGAGUGCACAACCUGUGUGUGUGUGUGUGUGUGUGUGAGAGAGAGAGAGAGAGAGAGAGAGAGAGAGAGAGAGAGAGAGACAGGGAGGAUUUUGAAAUGUUUUGCAAAAAGCUGGAGUCUUCUUGUCCAGCUCAUUUAUUUGCAGAGCUGUGGGCGAGUGCAAUGCCGUUCCAACUCUCAUUAGAUUACAAAUGGAAACGAAGCAAGCAAAGUGAUCUCCAGGGAAGGCUUCUCCUUUUGAUUAAAUAACCUAAUAAUUCAACACUACUCUCCUAACAGAUAGCAAUCUUUACUAUGCCUUUGUGUAGUGGGGGCAUUUGCAGGUAAUGUUGAAGAUUGUAUGUCUACAAGAAGGUGGCAGGCCUCUGUUUGCCCCGUACAGGAGGGCUAGCAUCUUGUGCUUUGAAGAAAGAAAUACUUUGCGACCAUAAAAUAAAAGUAAAUAAAUGUUUUCUGUUUGAAUGUUUGUGGAAAUCUGCAUAAACCUCCUUAGUAUAUAUCAUUCUGAUUUCACAAAUUUGCUUUCUCUGGCCAAUGUAUGUUUUGACUAGAGGCCUACGCACCUAGAUGUAGAUAAUUGCUAAUCGAGACAUGAAACUUCCUAAUCUCUGCAGUUCCUGGUUAUGUACAGCUCUCAUUUCUAGCUACAGUGGUACCUCGGGUUAAGAAUUUAAUUCGUUCCGGAGGUCUGUUCUUAACCUGAAACUGUUCUUAACCUGAGGUACCACUUUAGUUAAUGGGGCCUCCCGCUGCCGCCGUGUAAUUUCUCUUUCUCAUCCUGAAGCAAAGUUCUUAACCCGAGGUACUAUUUCUGGGUUAGCGGAGUCUGUAACCUGAAGCGUCUGUAACCUGAGGUACCACUGUAUUUCCUUUUCCUUUUCCUUUUCUCUCUCAGACUUCUCCCUCUGGCUUGAGAAACAAAUACACUUUUCAGGUUAGCCUUAUAACCACAAGGAUCAGAAACUGAGUGCCUCGUAACAAUUACCACAGGUGAUGUUCCUUGAGGUUGAAUGUGGCCUCUCAGCCUGACCCUCAGAACUCACUGCAUGAUGAACAAUCCUUUUACCAAAAGACAUACAAUGCUGUCCAGACACCACUUCUAUCACAGUGCAGAUACGAUUAUUACACCAGUGAAAAUCUCCCUACUUGUAGAGAAAUCCCUGUAGGUCAACUCCCGCAGAGUUCUUUGCAUCUCGGGUGUGAAGUGGCCUGCUGGAGCAGAGUGCUGCUGAGGCAAGUUAAGGUAUUCUGUUGUGAAGCCAGUGAGCUGUGGGCCUAAGGAUUUGUGCCAAUGAUCACACAGCCAAAGGCUGCUUUAUAUUUAGCUGCAUCCUGACCAUAUAGGCAAUGGCGUACCUAGGCAAUGUUUUAUAUUUAGUUGCAUCUAAAACGCAUUUGCAAAAUUACUCCAUGGGACGGAAUCCAGGGUUACAAAAAUUGCUUACUUAGGGUAGUUGUCAAGCUCAGCUGUGCUAAGGAAUGAGAAUACUAGCUUGCUCUCUCUCUCUAUAUAUAUAGAUAUAUAGGAGUGUGUGUGUGUGUGUGUGUGUGUGUACAUAUGAAUGUGUGUGUGUGUGUGUAUAAUUGAUGAGAACUCAUAAUAACCUAACAAGCAUUGUAACUGUUAAGUUGUGGGUGAACAUAUCAGACGACACAGCGAUUCUUCAAACAGCUCUUGUUUAUUCACAGGCCAGAACAGAACUAAACUGAAGAGUUCAGCCAGCCUGCUUAUAUAGAGCUCCACUAGAACGGAACAGUAACCAUUUUCUGUAACUAGCCAAUCACUGAACGUCACUUUCGAUCCCUGAUUUGCAUAUGUGGACCUGAACUAUCUACAGUAUCCCCCUGCUGGCCCAGGGUGAGAACUUCAGUACAUAACAGUAACUGAGUCUUUAUCAGCAUUGAGGGGCAAGGGGCAAGAACACAGAAGAUCACCUGGACUGAAUCAAGCAGCUUGUCCACUUCCUUGAGCCUUACUAACUGAAAUGCAUCCAACACAACAGGACUAGACACUUGAGAUCCAAAUGAUUCAACUGGAGUCAAGGUCCUGGUGGAUGCAGGCAAUUUUAUCUUCAGGUUGCUUUGCCAACAGGUCACAGUGAGCCAACUGUUGCCUCUCCCUUCUUCUUUGGAAUAGACUGCAAAAGGUCCCCUAUUACCUGGGGAAAUUCUGCUGGGUACCACAGUAAGGAUGCAGUGGAGGCAGCAAAGUAUUCCUUCUGUGGACUCUAAUGUUAGCAUUGGCCAUUGGUAUCUUUAGAUGGGUUUACAUCCCUGUAUUGCUUUGUGAGUCUUUCACAAACACUUGCAAUCUUUAUUUUACUCUGCUAGAAGUUGUUUGCUUAACGUUUGCUGGCGCUUGUGUGUUUUCCAUUCUGAAAAUUGCUGAC